GAAUAGAUUAUCCUCCCUGACCGUACCAAGAGCAAGGCAUAAGUCCCAGCCCCAUGUCAUCAUGUACACUCAUUAGGACAAGUAGCACUAUCUUGCACACAGGUGCUUUUGUCAAUUAAACAAAGUGAUGAAUUUGUUGCGCUAGCAAACCUCAAUCAUUUGACACAAGAUGCUCACGGUUUAAUUUAUCGCCCCCAUAACGCGACGAAUAUUCUAGCUUGACAUUUCAGGAAAUAUAGGACAUCUUGUUGUUGUUAUGCGGGGAUUCUUUUCGUACAAAU
This 281-nucleotide long non-coding RNA is filed under the name Setaria viridis. RNAcentral's name for it is "long non-coding RNA (SVIR_LNC003996)". The record is from RNAcentral. Lineage: Eukaryota; Viridiplantae; Streptophyta; Magnoliopsida; Poales; Poaceae.